This 440-nucleotide ribosomal RNA is filed under the name uncultured bacterium. Its description in RNAcentral is "partial 16S ribosomal RNA". It matches the Rfam family "Bacterial small subunit ribosomal RNA", at positions 338 to 795 of the family's 1533-position model. The record is from RNAcentral.
CCUACGGGUGGCAGCAGUGGGGAAUAUUGCACAAUGGGCGAAACCCUGAUGCAGCGACGCCGCGUGAGUGAAGAAUGAUUUCGGUACUUAAAGCUCUUUCAGCAGGGAAGUAAAUGACUGUACCUGUCGAAUAAGCUCCGUCUAACUACGUGCCAGCAGCCGCGGUAAUACGUAGGCGGCCAGCGUUAUCCGGAUUUACUGGGUGUAAAGGGAGCGUAGUCGGUAGCGCAAGUCUGGAGUGAAAUCGCAGGGCUUAACCAUGGAACUGCUUUGGAAACUGUGCAGCUGGAGUGCAGGAGAGGUAAGCGGAAUUCGUGGUGUAGCGGUGAAAUGCGUAGAUAUUAGGAGGAACACCAGUGGCGAAGGCGGCUUACUGGACUGUAACUGACGUUGAGGCUCGAAAGCGUGGGGAGCAAACAGGAUUAGAUACCCUUGUAGUC